CCGGACUCUUCGUAAAGUAUAAAUACGGACGCAUAGGCGCUCUUCGGUCUUUCGGCGUAAGGUUUCUGCUGCUUUCUGGAUGUUUUUGAACUCACAUUCCAAAUGACGAUUUGUUUGAGGAGAGAAGAGGAACCACACUGGAAAUUGACUGAAUUACUGAUUUGUGCUCGUUUUAAUUAUUACAAUGGGGAAUGGGUAAAGUAAUUUUAAUUUUUAGUGAUGCAGGAUUUAGAAACAUUGGCACAUUACUUUUUGGGGCAGGGUCUCCCUAUGUGGCACAGGCUUCUUUUAAGUUCUGGAUCCUCCUGCCAAUCUCAGCCAUGACAUUUCUGAAAGUCCUGUAUUUGAAUGACUUGUACAUGCACAUAGCUAGAUGUCCUUAGAUCCUUUUGGCUUGGGUUUUUCACUCUUUGUGUUACACCUAACAUCUGAGAUUGAAUAAAUAAGAAUUGAAAUAAUGAGUAUGUGGUACUUUUUUUUUUAUCAUGUACACUGGGGGAUGCCUGACCAGUUUUCUGCAAAUGGUGCUAGUUAGAAUUGGUUCAUAAAAACUUGCUUGGGAAAUGAUGAAGUAGGACCUGCCUGUAACUUGCUUACGAGUAACACCAAAGAUGGGGAUUGAGACAUCUUGCCUUACUGACUUAAAAUGGUCAAGUUGUCAAUAGGGUGUUAAUCAUAGAUACUAAGUUUGGAACACAGAGGAGUUGACUGAUGCAAUCAAAAUACAUGGGGAAAUUGAGCUGAGCAGCUGGCAGUCUGCUUUCACAGCUACUUAUGCCCUUUAAUGUGAUGAGGCUUGAGCCUAAAAUUACCAGCACGCCUCAUGAUGUGGGAAACCUGUCAUAAUAGAUAUUUUCAACCCUCCACACUGGCUGCCAGCAUUGUAGAAAAGUCAAGGCCCUGAAGGAUGGGAACCACUUAGAAGGUAAAGUCAGGUGAAUUGUAGCUCCUCUGUUGGCUAACCAGCUUUAUAGUCUGGUUAGGAGAAAGUAGGGAUAUAUGUGGCAAGUGCCCUUUUGCACAUGGCUGAAAGUACACUGCCUGCUAGUGAUUAGUGAGAACCUCAGUCAUUCAGAGGUGUGAAGUAGGACUUCCCAAUUGGAAGUCACUCUGCCUGCCCUUCUGUGAUCUGUUUACCUAGAGCAAAUGAGGUUUCUCCUGUGUUUGCCAGUGUGAACAAGCAAAAGCCACAGGUGCUGGGUUCACUUGCCAACCUUUGGAGUACUGGAUUUGAAUCCUGGUAACACCACUUGCUGUCCAUGGGACCUUUGAGGAAUUACAACUUCAGUCUUCUCAAAUUUAUAAAAAUAUCUUUACAGUCUACCACAUAAGUAUUAUGGACUUCUAACAAAGUCAACUAUCAAGCCAGGCUUGAUCACAGAAAACACCCUACCUUUCCAGGGAAGAGAAGGAGGUAGUUCAGGAAUUAAUUUACCUAAGAAAGUCAUGUGAAAACCAGUUGCAGUGAUAAGGUUAUAGAUACAUUGUUUCAUCUAAUCUCCAUGUAUAACUGGGUGUCUGCAGGUGAGGAAGUAGGACUGAAGAAAUGCCCAAAUUCUGCCAUAAGAUGACAGCAUGUAGUCCAGUGCAACCUGUGACAU
Long non-coding RNA from Castor canadensis (American beaver), 1601 nucleotides. RefSeq lists it as uncharacterized. NCBI's taxonomy places the organism in Eukaryota, Metazoa, Chordata, Mammalia, Rodentia, Castoridae. The record is from RefSeq and is a predicted model, not a curated record.